ACUACCUCCUACGUCAGGGGAGGGGACCGGGCACAUGGUUCCGAGGUCAUGCUCCUCACUUAGAGGAUCGUGGGAAUGCUUACGGAAACACUUGUCACGGCGCUGCCAGCUGGAAUCGCUGCUUAAGAAGAGGCUGGAAAACUAGGGAGUGCGCGAUCAGAGACGGGAGGCUGGGGAGAGCAGGGAGGCAGAUGUUGUGUGUUAUCACUGAAACAAACACAAGCCAUCCAGUUGUGCACUUCAGCUACGUGCGGCUUAGCGUACUUCGAUAAUGCCUCCAGAAAGUCAGGGAAAGGAAAUACAGAGGAAGCUGGGCCUCUCUUCUACCACCUCGAAACUGUCCUGCUGCCAAACAGAUCUGGGAAAGCAGGUUUUAAUGAGAAAAUUCAAUUAAGAAAUAAACUUAAGUAACCCCAUAGCAUGCUGAGUGAAGAGAGGAGCCUUUCUCAAGUGUCUUAGUGCCGAGGAGUGGACCAAGGGGCUCUGAAAAAUGACCAAUGAGGCUUCCCGCCACUCAGAGGAAGCCAAGCUCAGAAAGGCCACGAAGACCAUCCUCGCUUAAGCGCGGGGCCAGAUUCCAAGGCCAGGUCUGCUCCGCCUCAUCCAUUUCUUGUGCUGCUUCCCAGUGAGACUCAGCAGAGGACACACGAGGCCACAUGAGGUACUCACAUCAGGAUCUCAGCUCUCUAACACAGGGAGGGGUGCAACGAAGGCAAGGACACAGGUGCUGUGCGUGACUCCCCACCGGGGCCGGCGGGCACUGGGUGGCUCAGAGAUCAUUAGGAACGGUCGCUCCCUCCCUUUCUCCUGGUUUCCCUUCUGUCCUCUGAUAGAGGAAAGUGGCUUAGAUCAUUCUCACAGGAAGAUUAAAUCCAGAGCAAGGGAAAGGGAUAGGAAUCCGUUUCCAAUCAAUGAUGGAAACCAGAUUCCCUCAUCAGUUGGGAUUCAUUCUUACAUGUUGUAAACAUCACAGAGCUCCACCCAUGGCUACAAGCGUUCAGGAGGUAUGAAGCAUGGUGGCACAUCCUGGGUGAGAGCUGCCUGUGGCCAAGAAGCCUCCCGGCUUGGGCUGGCCCAUCUGAGGGACAGGAAGCAACACGUCUCUUGGAAGUUAUCCCCAAAACUCCCAUCUCAGAAAGGUGAGAUAAAGCACAAGACUGUCCCACUCUUGUAAAUGUUCUAUAUUUACAGGAAUAAAGUUUUAAAACCAUCUUAGACAACUAUAACCUCCUUCCUGUAGAACAUACCCAUGUACAUUUGUACUCAUAUGGGAAAAUAUGGUAUCAAUUAUUAAUAGUAAAGUAUUUGAAUUAAAGGUCUUUUGUUCUUGAAGAACCACGGGAUCUCAGUUUCAGUGGCCUUGGAGUCCCACUUCCCCCGUAUGAAAUCCCUAAAGCACUAGGUGUUUUGACCCCUGCUUGAUCUUGACUAUGGGGAAAAUGCACCAUGUCCCCAGUCAGCCUGUGUCACGCGGUGCUGGCUGUUUGGCAGCUCUGCCUUACACUGCAGCCUCCAGCACAGAGAGUCCUCUGUCCAGAACCACCUCAAGGAUGUGCAAGUUCUCUGCCACAUGGCAUCCCUCAGACACCUGAAGUGAGCCAUCUCAGCCUCCCUCCAAGCAGCUUCCCUCCCGGCUGACACUCCCAGCUCUGCUGUGUCCUGCACAUGGCACGCUUCCGAGACCACUCGCCCUCGGCUGUCCCCUGGGGUUCAUGCCACUGGAUCACUGGGUGCUUAAUAGGCGCCAACCAUUUCAGAAACCACCUCUUAUUCCCGUGAGAGCAACCCCUGCAAGUAUUCUGUUUUGGUUUUGUUUGUGCUUUUUCUUUUUGCAGGAAUCAAGGCCCUAACAUCCAGAACCUCAGCAGUCUCUCUGGCUGCCAUCCACAUCAUCUGCCCAGACACAAAGAGAGCGGGACAGGACCACAGCGUGGCCAGCUCGUGACCCAGCUACAGCCUUGGGUCUGUACUCUCCCUGCAGUCAGAGGAUGGGGACAGGUGGCACACUGCUGGCCUGAGCACAACAGGAGUCCGUUUGCUUGGGGACAUUUCUUGGAAAUAAAAAACUUGAAAACCACCCCUGACAACAUGUUAGUCCCUGGAAGUACUCAAUUACGGUGAAAAGCCAUCGGCAAAAGUUAAAGAAUCUACCCUAAUGAAACCACUCAAGCUGAUGAACAAAGAUGCCCACUGCUCUACCCACUGCUCCACGGCAAAAAAAACUGGAAAUAAUCUCCCCCAACAACAGGGAAGUGAUCAUCUACUGUGUAACCCUUACAAUUGCACAGUGUUAAAAACGUGGGAAAAUGUUUUAUGUUUAAUUAGCGAAACUGAAUAUAAAAAUUUACUAUCAAGUGAGUAAAAAAAUGCCCAAAUCCUGGAAAUGAUAUAUAAAAACGUUAACAGUGUUUUUCUUUAGGUGGAAAGAUUGAUUUUUUCCCCUCCUUUCAUAUGUAUUUAGUGAACUCCAAGUUUUUUCCAUCACAUGAUUUCAGUCUCUAAAAAUCCGUGAUCCAUCACGCCAACUGGAUUUUGUCAAUUUUACCCUCUAUGGUUUGUACUGUGCAAAACUAGGCUUCACUUUAUUUUCCAAACAAAAAAUACUAUUACUGAGUAUGUUUUCUCAAAUUACCACCCCACUGCCCAAAAAAUGACACCUGCCACACUCAAGAUUAUGGUGGCCCCCAGGAGGUGUGCCCAUCCCAGCCCUCACUGGGUGCAAGCUCUCUCUUUCUUCUAUCAUCCUUCUGCAGAGAAGGAUUUUGUAAUUGUUGUUGCUUUGUUUUAAAGUGGGAAAGAAAAAUAUUGACGAACUUAAAACUCGACAUAGACAGAGACAUUGGGCAGCACCAGACCUAAUCUUUUUUUUUUUUUUUUUU
This 2879-nucleotide long non-coding RNA is filed under the name Homo sapiens (human). RNAcentral's name for it is "HSALNT0290579". The record is from RNAcentral. Lineage: Eukaryota; Metazoa; Chordata; Mammalia; Primates; Hominidae.